Numida meleagris (helmeted guineafowl) is the source of this 1834-nucleotide long non-coding RNA. RefSeq lists it as uncharacterized. The record is from RefSeq and is a predicted model, not a curated record. NCBI's taxonomy places the organism in Eukaryota, Metazoa, Chordata, Aves, Galliformes, Numididae. The transcript is spliced from 3 exons.
CAGGGAUCUUGCAGCGUCAGUUCUGGAGAUCAUCAGGAUAUCUUACCACAGGAGUUGGGGUCUUUUGCAAUUGCACCAUUGCAGUACACAUUAUGUGAGGCUGCAUCUCACAACCAGCCAGGAAAACUCUCGCAGACACCAGACUAUCCAUGGCCAUGCCGGGGUCUGGAGGAAUCCAUUGCUUUGCUGAACUGGGGCACAGGCAUGACAAGCUCUGAAGGUUGCCAGAGAAUUCCCAGCAAAAUGAGUUGUGUUAAUUCUGCUGGCAGGGAUUUUUCAGCAAGCCUGUGCUUGAUUAAACACCUUGAUAACUCGUUAGCUUCCACUGAUUGACAAAUAGUUGGAGGAAGCCAAGCUGCCCUGGAAGGGGUUCUUGGACAAGAGGUGCAGUGGCAGAGUGUCAGCUGCUUCUGGAGGGGUCCAGAGCAAAGGAGGUGAUUGCAGAGAAAGUGGCUGCUUCCUAUUUUGACAGAGGAGUUGAUCUGUGUAGCCAAGCUCACUGUGGUGGAAGCCAUUGUUGACAGAAAUACCUGGUGGUGCUGCUGCCUUAAUCUGAGAUGGGAUGCUGGUCAUGUCUAUGGAUCCUACCUCUAUCCAUGGUGUCGCAAAUGUGUCUACCUGACUAAUAAAAUCAUGCAGUUGAAUUGCAAUGUGUCAGUGUGCUAUAGUUCCCUGGUAGUCCACAGAAUUCCUUCUUGACAGGCAUCUCUCAAAACUAGUGCUGGGGAGGAGAGUGGCAGCAGCUGAUGGCAUGUAUGCAUUCUGAACUGUAAAUGGGAUGUUCUGCAACUUGUUCCUUCGAGCCAAUGCCCAUGGCCUUAUCAGUUAUGAGCUGCUGGUUCUGGAGAAAGAAUUGUCCAGGAUUACUUGGCGGGCAAGCAGUUGUAUCUCUGUUUCCUGAAAUUAAGGCUUUUGAGGAGUUCGGCUGGAAAUCUCAGGGUGUGGGGCUGCAGGCUGAACUUCUUAGUCCUGCUUGAAGCUGAGUCUUUAGAAUAGACCCCAGCCUUGGGACCUGAGCAGAGGUGAGCUUAGCAAACGGAGCUUGUUACCUUCCAAGUUAAGGAACACUGCACUAACACAAUGCACAAGAAACUUCUAAAUCUGACAUUGAAUGUGUUUACUGGCAUGGACUGUUGAAAAAUCUGUCAACAGGACAAACAUUUUUCUUCAUGAUAUUGGAAAUUUACUAUCUAGAAUCUGCUUUUUCUACUCUAGAAGGCAAGAAAAUUGGUGGAAAAAGCGGGGAAAGAAGGGACAAUGUAGUCAGAAAUAGGCAUAGUAAAACUGAAGUUUUUGAUGACAGCAUGAAGGGAGGCUUGCCACCACGGACUUUAAAGCACGAGAUCAGUCUUACCACAAACUCUUGUCUUUGUGUGUUUUUUUUUUGUUUGUUUUUGCUCUGUUAAAAAAGUAGAGAUGCUAAUGCAUCUUCUUCCUGAAUCUACCUUUGGGUUAGAGUUAUCGUUGAGCUUUCUUUCUCCUGUAUAAGGGAUAACAAUAGGCAGGCAAGUCUAUGUCCAAGUCCAAAGAUCUUAUAGGUGCUCAAUCCUGUUGAUGACCUCUUCAGAAGCUUCUCUCAGUACUAAUAGAUUAAAGAUACUUCUAAAAGGCUGCUUGCAUUCUUAAACCCCAGUAGAACAAAUGAAAAUUAAGCUCAAAUCUGCCAGCCUGCAGAAUUAGGCUUCAGGUUUUCAUACUCUGUAGAUUUGGCUUGACCAGCCUUUCCUUCUGGCACAGGAGUACUGUUGUGGAACUAGGAUGCCAUCUAGUGAUGUCAUAGCAGAGAACGAAGUAGCUAGAGCUAUCUGCUGUGUUAAAUUCUUGAUAACUUCCC